Molecule: ribosomal RNA, 473 nt
Filed under: uncultured bacterium
Lineage: Bacteria
Description: SSU rRNA
Rfam family: Bacterial small subunit ribosomal RNA
Source: RNAcentral
AGGACGAACGCUGGCGGCGUGCUUAACACAUGCAAGUCGAGCGGAAAGGCCCUUCGGGGUACUCGAGCGGCGAACGGGUGAGUAACACGUGGGCAACCUGCCCUUAGCUCUGGGAUAGCUCCGGGAAACCGGAAUUAAUACCGGAUAUGACCUAGGCCGACAUCGGCCGUGGUGGAAAGUUUUUCGGCUAGGGAUGGACUCGCGGCCUAUCAGCUAGUUGGUGGGGUAAUGGCCUACCAAGGCGACGACGGGUAGCCGGCCUGAGAGGGCGACCGGCCACACUGGGACUGAGACACGGCCCAGACUCCUACGGGAGGCAGCAGUGGGGAAUCUUGCGCAAUGGGCGAAAGCCUGACGCAGCGACGCCGCGUGGGGGAUGAAGGCCUUCGGGUUGUAAACCCCUUUCAGCAGGGACGAAGCGAAGUGACGGUACCUGCAGAAGAAGCGCCGGCUAACUACGUGCCAGCAGCCGC